GAUGAAGAACGUAGCGAAAUGCGAUAAGUAAUGUGAAUUGCAGAAUUCAGUGAAUCAUCGAAUCUUUGAACGCACAUUGCGCCCGCCAGUAUUCUGGCGGGCAUGCCUGUUCGAGCGUCAUUACAACCCUCAGGCCCCCGGGCCUGGCGUUGGGGAUCGGCGGAGCCCCCCGUGGGCACACGCCGUCCCCCAAAUGCAGUGGCGGUCCCGCCGCAGCUUCCAUCGCGUAGUAGCUAACACCUCGCAACUGGAGAGCGGCGCGGCCACGCCGUAAAACACCCAACUUCUGAAUGUUGACCUCGAAUCAGGUAGGAAUACCCGCUGAACUUAAGCAUAUCAAUAAGCGGAGGA
Molecule: unclassified non-coding RNA, 351 nt
Filed under: soil metagenome
Description: partial contains 5.8S ribosomal RNA, internal transcribed spacer 2, and large subunit ribosomal RNA
Rfam family: 5.8S ribosomal RNA (bases 1-120)
Source: RNAcentral